GGGGUUCGAUUCCGGAGAAGGAGCCUGAGAAACGGCUACUACAUCUACGGAAGGCAGCAGGUGCGUAAAUUACCCAAUCCUAAAUCGGGGAGGUAGUGACAAGAUAUAACAACGCGACCAAAAAUCGCGAUUGUAGUGAGGGUAUUCUAAACAUAGCUUCGAGUACGAUUGGAGGGCAAGUCUGGUGCCAGCAGCCGCGGUAAUUCCAGCUCCAAUAGCGUAUAUUAAAGUUGUUGCAGUUUAAAAGCUCGUAAUUGGACUUCAAGAAUCGCAUCUGGGCAACCAGCAUGCAUUCUACCAGCCCUAGGCUGUUACUGUGAGAAAAUUAGAGUGUUUCAAGCAGGCUAUUGCAGGAAUACAUUAGCAUGGAAUAACGAAUGUGUCUACAAUUUGGUUGAUUGUAGGUUACAAUUAAUAGGGACAGUUGGGGGCAUUAGUAUUUAAUAGUCAGAGGUGAAAUUCUUGGAUUUGUUAAAGACUAACGUAUGCGAAAGCAUUUGCCAAGGAUGUUUUCAUUAAUCAAGAACGAAAGAUAGGGGAUCAAAGACGAUCAGAUACCGUCGUAGUCCUAUCUAUAAACUAUGCCGACUAGGGAUUAGUGCGGUCAGUACCGCAUUAGUACCUUAUGAGAAAUCAAAGUCUUUGGGUUCUGGGGGGAGUAUGGUCGCAAGACUGAAACUUAAAGAAAUUGACGGAAGGGCACCACCAGGAGUGGAGCCUGCGGCUUAAUUUGACCCAACACGGGGAAACUUACCAGGUCCGGACGCAGUGAGGAUUGACAGAUUGAUAGCUCUUUCUUGAUUCUGUGGGUGGUGGUGCAUGGCCGUUCUUAGUUGGUGGAGUGAUUUGUCUGGUUAAUUCCGAUAACGAACGAGACCUUAACCUGCUAAAUAGUUACGCCAAUUUUAUUGGUGUCGACUUUUUAGAGGGACUAUGUCACGUUGAGUGCAUGGAAGUUUGAGGCAAUAACAGGUCUGUGAUGCCCUUAUAUGUCCUGGGCUGCACGCGUGCUACACUGAUGCAUACAACAAGUUCCUAGCUCGAAAGGGUACGGCAAUCUCGAAUAUGCAUCGUGAUGGGGAUAGAUCUUUGCAAUUAUAGAUCUUGAACGAGGAAUUCCUAGUAAAUGUAAGUCAUCAUCUUACAUUGAUUAUGUCCCUGCCCUUUGUACACACCGCCCGUCGCUCCUACCGAUACCGGGUGUUGUGCUGAACCUAUUGGACCUGAAAAGGAAAGAUAUGUAAAGCUUAACACCUAGAGGAAGGAGAAGUCGUAACAAGGUU
This 1283-nucleotide ribosomal RNA is filed under the name metagenome. RNAcentral's name for it is "SSU rRNA". It matches the Rfam family "Eukaryotic small subunit ribosomal RNA", at positions 372 to 1801 of the family's 1831-position model. The record is from RNAcentral.